ACGGAAGGUCCGGGCGUUAUCCGGAUUUAUUGGGUUUAAAGGGAGCGUAGGCCGGAGAUUAAGCGUGUUGUGAAAUGUAGAUGCUCAACAUCUGCACUGCAGCGCGAACUGGUUUACUUGAGUACGCACAAAGUGGGCGGAAUUCGUGGUGUAGCGGUGAAAUGCUUAGAUAUCACGAAGAACUCCGAUUGCGAAGGCAGCUCACUGGAGCGCAACUGACGCUGAAGCUCGAAAGUGCGGGUAUCGAACAG
RNAcentral lists this ribosomal RNA (251 nucleotides) under uncultured bacterium. RNAcentral's name for it is "partial 16S ribosomal RNA". It matches the Rfam family "Bacterial small subunit ribosomal RNA", at positions 525 to 775 of the family's 1533-position model. The record is from RNAcentral.